Long non-coding RNA from Scophthalmus maximus (turbot), 1797 nucleotides. RefSeq lists it as uncharacterized. NCBI's taxonomy places the organism in Eukaryota, Metazoa, Chordata, Actinopteri, Pleuronectiformes, Scophthalmidae. The transcript has 2 exons. The record is from RefSeq and is a predicted model, not a curated record.
CGGACACACAGUCAGGAGCCGGGAGGAGACCACUGGAAACUUUUUAUUUGAUCAGCUGAUAAGCACAUGCAGACCCCUUCACCAGCUUAGUUCAAAACAGGAAUCAAGGAUAUGAACAUGGCAGGAUGCAUAUGCAGGGGAAAAAGGGUCCCCGAUGGGCUCCACUCCGCACGUGGAACAUACAGGUGCGAGGACAUAAAGGUGUGUGUGUGUGUGUGUGCGUGUGCGUGUGCGUGUGUGGUGGUCGUUUCACAGCAUCUUUACUGGUCUGAGCUCUCUCCUGAGAGCAGGUAGAGAGAGAUGAAAUGAGAACAAACAAGUGCAGGAGAAGAGAGAAGAGGCAGCUCCCAGCGGUGUCCUGCCUGGUGGAUUUUAAAGAGCAGGAAAGAGACUGGUCAGCCUUUUCUCCUUGCCCCCAGCGCCGGCAGAUAAGCAGAGACGCACCGAAAGAGGGACCGAAACAGAGAGAGAAAUAACGUGACAAGCUUGUGCGAGGUGAUAAGAGAUGACAGUAACUUUCUUCAACCCUGAUUUCUGCAGGUCACAGUUUCUCUCGCAGGGUCUUAUUAAUCAUCAGUGACGCCGCUGGACAGUUCUAACACCCGACUCUUCAUUCUCACAGCCGCACAUGUUCAACACCCUCCGUCACCUUUACAAUCGUCCCCUAUGAACACGGGCAGGCCCAGUCAGGCACGACCAGGCACUGCAGACCCUUUUUUUCCACAUUUGGCUUCUACUUUUUUUCUUUUUUUUUCAUCUGGAUCGCAGCCUCUUCCUCCCACCCCUGCUUCUGAUAACUCGCCCCCCUGCCCCCUUGGCCCCUGCAAAGUUUCGUCCGCCGGACACUCGAGGUUUCUGUAUGUCUUCAGUUUUCUCCACGAGUUCAAGCGUCAUGGAUGAACCCUGUCCUGGCUCUCCUCCUCUGCACCUGCGGAGCCUUCGUCCUCCGUCCCACUCCUCGUGACUUCCUUCAGCACCAUUGUGCAUCAUUUUUUUUUUCUGAUUCACACCCUCGUCUCGAUAUUUCUCUCCGCUGCCUUUUCCCACCUUCUCUGCAUUUUCAACAGUUCUCCUCUCUCAGUCACGCACAAGAAUCACUCACUGCCGUGCAAGAAAGUGCACUCGCAAUGCGUGCUCACACGUAUGCCGUGUGCAGGCUUUGUGUGAUGUGAAGCCAAGUCCGUUCUUUUCCCAGGCAGGCCAGCGGCAGCGAGGACCCCGGCUCACAGUUAACCUCCCUCCCUGGCUCUUACGCUCUCCUUCCUCCCUUUCUUUCUCCUUUUCUUUCUCACAAGGUAAAGGCCGAGGAGUGGGGGGAUGACAUCAUUCAGGGGGAUUCCGGCAGGACAUUUGACUGUUAAAUGAUGAAAGCAGAUUAACCAGCAGUGAGGAAUCCGGGUGGUUAUCAUAAAAUGAUUUGGACCAUGGUUCUUUAUCUAAAGCAUUAGUGAUUUUCUUCAUCUGUAGUCUAAUCCUUUGAGGGUUAAGGCAACUUUGCUCUUUUGGAUUCUACAGCUCAAGAGACACAGGUUCAUCAGGAAAUUGGUAUAAUUGUUCCUCCUUGUACACCUCUCCUGUCUCACGCUGGACUUCUGAUCAGAUAUUACAGAUUCUAAAAUGCUCCAGCUAUACUCAUGCUGGUAAUUAGUUUUUUAUUUCAUUUGUGGGCGUGAAAUUUCAGUGUUUAAAUUAUGUCUUUUUUAAUUUUGUAUUGUUAUAUUGUUCACGUUCCAUUGCUUUUUAUUUUCCACCUAAUGUCACAAUGCUUUCAUAAACUCAUUAACAUAAAUUCUAAAA